GUGCAGCUUUGAAGUCUCUUUGAAUGGCAUUUCCAUUGAGUGAGAACUGCACCCUUCUUCUCGCCACAUCAAGCAGAAGUCCAAGCACAUCGCCUGAGUGGACAGAUAGCAGAAUGUUCAUGACUUUGUUAAAGUGGGUGCUAUUAUGGGCUUGUGCAUGUGUGAGUGUCGCUUCACUGACCUGCCUUCCAAGGUUUGUGGCUAUGCGGCGUGCUUUUAGCGUUGUGCCAGAUGAGCUGCCGACAUCCAUCAUAAGCACACGAGUAUUCAUCGUCACCGAUACCAUAGCCAUCCUGAAAAACAAGAUAAAGUCACACAAUACCAUAGCCAUCCUGACAAACAAGAUAAAGUUACACAAUACCAUA
This is a long non-coding RNA of Nematostella vectensis (starlet sea anemone), 365 nucleotides long. RefSeq lists it as uncharacterized. The transcript has 2 exons. NCBI's taxonomy places the organism in Eukaryota, Metazoa, Cnidaria, Anthozoa, Actiniaria, Edwardsiidae. The record is from RefSeq and is a predicted model, not a curated record.